This 484-nucleotide ribosomal RNA is filed under the name uncultured bacterium. Its description in RNAcentral is "partial 16S ribosomal RNA". It matches the Rfam family "Bacterial small subunit ribosomal RNA", at positions 30 to 507 of the family's 1533-position model. The record is from RNAcentral.
AUUGAACGCUGGCGGCAUGCUUUACACAUGCAAGUCGAGCGGCAGCACGGGGGCAACCCUGGUGGCGAGCGGCGAACGGGUGAGUAAUACAUCGGAACAUGCCCCGUCGUGGGGGAUAACACUUCGAAAGAAGUGCUAAUACCGCAUACGUCCUGAGGGAGAAAGCGGGGGAUCGCAAGACCUCGCGCGAUUGGAGUGGCCGAUGUCAGAUUAGCUAGCUGGUGGGGUAAAGGCCUACCAAGGCAACUAUCGGUAGCUGGUCUGAGAGGAUGAUCAGCCACACUGGGACUGAGACACGGCCCAGACUCCUACGGGAGGCAGCAGUGGGGAAUUUUGGACAAUGGGGGCAACCCUGAUCCAGCCAUUCCGCGUGAGUGAAGAAGGCCUUCGGGUUGUAAAGCUCUUUCGGCAGUAACGAAACGGCGAGCUCUAACAUAGCUUGCUAAUGACGGUACCUGAAGAAGAAGCACCGGCUAACUACGUG